This 477-nucleotide ribosomal RNA is filed under the name uncultured bacterium. RNAcentral describes it as "partial 16S ribosomal RNA". It matches the Rfam family "Bacterial small subunit ribosomal RNA", at positions 30 to 507 of the family's 1533-position model. The record is from RNAcentral.
AUUGAACGCUGGCGGCAUGCCUUACACAUGCAAGUCGAACGGUAACAGGUUAAGCUGACGAGUGGCGAACGGGUGAGUAAUACAUCGGAACGUGCCCAGUAGUGGGGGAUAGCCCGGCGAAAGCCGGAUUAAUACCGCAUACGACCUAAGGGUGACAGGGGGGGCUCGCAAGACCUCUCGCUAUUGGAGCGGCCGAUGUCAGAUUAGCUAGUUGGUGGGGUAAAAGCUCACCAAGGCGACGAUCUGUAGCUGGUCUGAGAGGACGACCAGCCACACUGGGACUGAGACACGGCCCAGACUCCUACGGGAGGCAGCAGUGGGGAAUUUUGGACAAUGGGCGCAAGCCUGAUCCAGCCAUGCCGCGUGCGGGAAGAAGGCCUUCGGGGUGUAAACCGCUUUUGUCAGGGAAGAAAUCCUUUGGGUUAAUACCUCGGGGGGAUGACGGUACCUGAAGAAUAAGCACCGGCUAACUACGUG